CCUUAACUUCUUCCUUUUGUUUCUCUAAUUGUCUUAAAAUUCCUCUCGUUCCCUUAUUCCUAUAAACUAGGAAUUCAUAGUUCUAUCGACUAGAAGUUUUGGAUCAAUGGAGUUGGUUGUUGGGUGAACUCUGAUCACUUUUGAGGAGACCAACGACAUCGUCAAUUUUGAAGUCAUCGAUGCUUUCCAAAAGGUGUUCUCCUUAACAUUGGAAGAGGCCUUAAUGUUGAUGAACCUGAGUCUCUGCACUGCUGGAUGGUUUCUGCUGAAAUGGUUAGUAACUGAAGCAUUUAGACCAUGGUUGGUAACUUGGGAGGUAUCUUAUUCUGCUUGAAUGGUUUCUGCUGUAGGUUCAAGUCCACUCCACAUGUUGUAUAUGUUUGAUACAGUUGGGCAGGUCAUCCCCAAAUUUGAGAUUUUCUUUAACUUCAAGUUGUGCUACUUCAACCAACGUGUUAAUUAACACGGAUAGUUUUUCAAGUCUCCUAUGUUGCUAACAGAAAACAGCAUAACCUUUUUCCUUAUGCACUUACCUCUUCCUUUGGUGUUUUCCUAAAUUGUUCGCCCUUCUACUAAGUUCGAGAUAUAUUCUGAGUGGAUGGUCCUUGCUUAGGACUCCAACUCGUUAAUUUCAAUGUUUUACUUCAUAUAGGCCUCGAGUAAAAUAACUAUUGCUAUAGAAGUUAUUAUACACUGUAUUAUCAAACUAUUGCUAUAGUGUAAUAACUAGCAAAGGUGCCUGCGUGAUAUUGCGGGUUCUAAAACCGAGUGAAAUGUAUACAAAAUCGUGAAA
Molecule: long non-coding RNA, 793 nt
Filed under: Prunus dulcis (almond)
Lineage: Eukaryota; Viridiplantae; Streptophyta; Magnoliopsida; Rosales; Rosaceae
Description: sRNA ncRNA
Source: RNAcentral